UACGUAGGGUGCGAGCAUUGUCCGGAAUUAUUGGGCGUAAAGAGCUCGUAGGCGGCUUGUCGCGUCGGAUGUGAAAGCCCGGGGCUUAACCCCGGGUCUGCAUUCGAUACGGGCAGGCUAGAGUUCGGUAGGGGAGAUCGGAAUUCCUGGUGUAGCGGUGAAAUGCGCAGAUAUCAGGAUGAACACCGGUGGCGAAGGCGGAUCUCUGGGCCGAUACUGACGCUGAGGAGCGAAAGCGUGGGGAGCGAACAGG
This 253-nucleotide ribosomal RNA is filed under the name uncultured bacterium. Its description in RNAcentral is "partial 16S ribosomal RNA". It matches the Rfam family "Bacterial small subunit ribosomal RNA", at positions 524 to 776 of the family's 1533-position model. The record is from RNAcentral.